This 490-nucleotide ribosomal RNA is filed under the name uncultured bacterium. RNAcentral describes it as "partial 16S ribosomal RNA". It matches the Rfam family "Bacterial small subunit ribosomal RNA", at positions 29 to 507 of the family's 1533-position model. The record is from RNAcentral.
AUUGAACGCUGGCGGCAGGCCUAACACAUGCAAGUCGAACGGUAACACGAAACAUCUUGCUGUUUCGCUGACGAGUGGCGGACGGGUGAGUAAUGUCUGGGAAACUUCCUGAUGGAGGGGGAUAACUACUGGAAACGGUAGCUAAUACCGCAUAACGUCGCAAGACCAAAGAGGGGGACCUUCGUGCCUCUUGCCAUCGGAUGUGCCCCGAUGGGAUUAGCUAGUAGGUGGGGUAACGGCUCACCUAGGGGACGAUCCCUAGCUGGUCUGAGAGGAUGACCGGCGACACUGGAACUGAACCACGGACAAGAGUACUACGGGACGCAGCAGUGGGGAAUAUUGGGCAGUGGGGGCAAGCCUGGUGCAGCGGGGGCGAGUGUAUGGAGAAGGCGUUGCGGUUGUAAAGUACGUUUAGCGGGGAGAAACGGAGUAAAGUUAAUACGUAGAGUCAGUGACGUUACCCGCAGAAGAAGCACCGGCUAACUACGUG